AAUUGGGUCUUGCGCAAUGGAAACCUGCGAACCGUGUCAGGUUGGGAACAAAGCAGCACUAAGCGGAAUUUUCCAUGUGCCGCAAGGUUACCUGGUUUUA
Firmicutes bacterium CAG:534 is the source of this 100-nucleotide non-coding RNA. It matches the Rfam family "Bacterial small signal recognition particle RNA". Rfam says of the family: The signal recognition particle (SRP) is a universally conserved ribonucleoprotein involved in the co-translational targeting of proteins to membranes. The record is from Rfam. Lineage: Bacteria; Bacillati; Bacillota.